RNAcentral lists this ribosomal RNA (253 nucleotides) under uncultured bacterium. Its description in RNAcentral is "partial 16S ribosomal RNA". It matches the Rfam family "Bacterial small subunit ribosomal RNA", at positions 524 to 776 of the family's 1533-position model. The record is from RNAcentral.
UACGUAGGGCGCAAGCGUUAUCCGGAUUUAUUGGGCGUAAAGAGCUCGUAGGCGGUUUGUCGCGUCUGCUGUGAAAGCCCGGGGCUCAACUCCGGAUCUGCGGUGGGUACGGGCAGACUAGAGUGAGGUAGGGGAGACUGGAAUUCCUGGUGUAGCGGUGAAAUGCGCAAAUAUCAGGAGGAACACCGAUGGCGAAGGCAGGUGUCUGGGCAUUAACUGACGCUGAGGAGCGAAAGCAUGGGGAGCGAACAGG